RNAcentral lists this ribosomal RNA (517 nucleotides) under uncultured euryarchaeote. RNAcentral's name for it is "bacterial SSU rRNA". It matches the Rfam family "Archaeal small subunit ribosomal RNA", at positions 352 to 871 of the family's 1478-position model. Lineage: Archaea; Methanobacteriati; Methanobacteriota. The record is from RNAcentral.
GCAAUGCGAGAAAUCGUGACCAGGGAACUCCAAGUGCGUAGGGUAAGACCUACGCUUUUCUUGACUCUUCAAAGGUCUUGGAAUAAGGGUUGGGUAAGGACGGUGCCAGCCGCCGCGGUAAUACCGGCGCCUCAAGUGGUAGUCGCUUUUAUUGGGCCUAAAACGUCCGUAGCCGGUCUGGUGCAUUCGUGGGUAAAUCAACCCGCUCAACGGGUUGAAUUCUGCGAGCACGGCCAGACUUGGGACCGGGAGAGGUGUGGGGUACUCUCAGGGUAGGGGUAAAAUCCUGUCAUCCUGAGAGGACCACCUGUUGCGAAGGCGCCACACUAGAACGGAUCCGACGGUCAGGGACGAAACCUAGGGGCACGAACCGGAUUAGAUACCCGGGUAGUCCUAGGUGUAAACGCUGUGGACUUGAUGUUGGGGGCGCUCCGAGCGCUCUCAGUGUCGAAGCGAAGGUGAUAAGUCCACUGCCUGGGGAGUACGGUCGCAAGGCUGAAACUCAAAGGAAUGACGG